GACGAACGCUGGCGGCGUGCUUAACACAUGCAAGUCGAACGGAAAGGCCCCCAUCUUGGUGGGGGUGCUCGAGUGGCGAACGGGUGAGUAACACGUGGGUGAUCUGCCCUGUACUUCGGGAUAAGCUUGGGAAACUGGGUCUAAUACCGGAUAGGACCAUGGUUUAGUGUCUCAUGGUGGAAAGAUUAUUGUUUUGGUGCAGGAUGAGCUCGCGGCCUAUCAGCUUGUUGGUGGGGUAAUGGCCUACCAAGGCGUCGACGGGUAGCCGGCCUGAGAGGGUGGACGGCCACAUUGGGACUGAGAUACGGCCCAGACUCCUACGGGAGGCAGCAGUGGGGAAGAUUGCACAAUGGGCGCAAGCCUGAUGCAGCGACGCCGCGUGGGGGAUGACGGCCUUCGGGUUGUAAACUCCUUUCGUUAGGGACGAAGCCGCACUUUUUUUGGGUGUGGUGACGGUACCUUUGUUAAGAAGCACCGGCUAACUACGUG
This 489-nucleotide ribosomal RNA is filed under the name uncultured bacterium. RNAcentral describes it as "partial 16S ribosomal RNA". It matches the Rfam family "Bacterial small subunit ribosomal RNA", at positions 28 to 507 of the family's 1533-position model. The record is from RNAcentral.